AACGAACGCUGGCGGCGCGCCUAAUACAUGCAAGUCGAGCGAGAAGACGUAGCAAUACGUUUGUAAAGCGGCGAACGGGUGAGGAAUACAUGGGUAACCUACCCUCGAGUGGGGAAUAACUAGCCGAAAGGUUAGCUAAUACCGCGUACGCUCCUUGGACUUCGGUUCAUGGAGGAAAGCGAUACCGUGGGUAUCGCGCUCUUGGAUGGGCUCAUGUCCUAUCAGCUUGNGGUGAGGUAGCGGCUCACCAAGGCUUCAACGGGUAGCUGGUCUGAGAGGACGAUCAGCCACACUGGCACUGCGACACGGGCCAGACUCCUACGGGAGGCAGCAGUAAGGAAUAUUGCGCAAUGGGACGAAAGCCUGACGCAGCGACGCCGCGGUGGGGGAUGGAAGG
This 397-nucleotide ribosomal RNA is filed under the name uncultured bacterium. RNAcentral's name for it is "bacterial SSU rRNA". It matches the Rfam family "Bacterial small subunit ribosomal RNA", at positions 29 to 415 of the family's 1533-position model. The record is from RNAcentral.